GUGCCAGCCGCCGCGGUAAUACGGGGGGUGCAAGCGUUGUUCGGAUUUAUUGGGCGUAAAGCGCGUGUAGGCGGUUUGUUAAGUCUGUUGUGAAAGCCCUGGGCUCAACCCGGGAAGUGCACUGGAUACUGGCAAACUUGAAUACGGGAGAGGAGAGUGGAAUUCCUGGUGUAGGAGUGAAAUCCGUAGAUAUCAGGAGGAACACCGGUGGCGAAGGCGGCUCUCUGGACCGAUAUUGACGCUGAGACGCGAAAGCGUGGGUAGCAAACAGGAUUAGAAACCCCCGUAGUCC
This 292-nucleotide ribosomal RNA is filed under the name uncultured bacterium. RNAcentral describes it as "partial 16S ribosomal RNA". It matches the Rfam family "Bacterial small subunit ribosomal RNA", at positions 505 to 796 of the family's 1533-position model. The record is from RNAcentral.